CACCGAUACAGAAUUAUCGUCGUAUAAUUAAUAUUACGGUUGCAGUCACGGUCGUAGAUAUACCUGCCUUAUAGACCGUGUUUCUUGAUAAAACACCGUCAAAUACGAGCGUCUAGAGACAGCCACAACGAGCACAUUUCUUAUCGGUUACAAUUGUAAUAUUGCACAUCAAACAACCUGAUAUUAUGGAUGAGAAAAUGUUAUUAACAUGAAUAUACAAAACCACAGAACAUGGCCAAUACUCAUUAUACAAACAUACAAACAAAAAAAAAUAAUAAUAAUAAUAAUAAUAAUAACAAUAAAAUAAAAUGUAGUUUGAAAUAAAUAAAAAAAUAUCGUCUUCGAAAUAAUAAUAAUAAUAAGUAUAUAAACCAUAUGCACGGUCAAACUUCGCAUCAAUAUGGACAUAUGGAGGAGGCCCUUCUUAUUCGUUCAAAUCGUCUAUUAUUACUUUUCUUACGUUUAAUGUUGGUUUAUUUAAUCGUUGUUCUUCUGGUGCUGUUAAACGAAGUUUUUUAGUUGAAAAAAAUCUCUACUGUCUUUUAACCUUUUUUUAUUGGCCGGUUCUUGACUUGCGUUUUCGUUUAACGAAACAGGAACAUUAUAUUCUUGUUCUGACAGCAUUUUUAAAUUUGAAUCUAAGAACAAAUUAAUUUUUUGUAGCUGUUUAUCACUUAGUUUACCGGUAUAAUCAUUUUUAACAUCCGUAUCAUAACAUGUACAUGAAAAUAAAUGUACACAAACAUUAC
Cinara cedri is the source of this 749-nucleotide non-coding RNA. NCBI's taxonomy places the organism in Eukaryota, Metazoa, Arthropoda, Insecta, Hemiptera, Aphididae. The record is from the annotation of a GenBank genome assembly.